GUCCAUCGCUGCGGGUGGAAAGUCCUUUUAGCGCCGCUGCAGUACGAAUGCGUAAUAUUGGCUUAUUGGUGGUAAAAGACGAAUACGCUUACCUUCAGCGCUCCUGUCAAUUCGUCCCCGUCAAUCUGUCCCAGGAUCAACAUGGAAGAGCCUCACUGCUGCUCUCCUCUUCUCCAUCGAGUGAGAACAGCUGGCAUCGGCAUCUCCUCGUGCGUCCUCCGCAAACUGCAAGAACAGCCAUGAGAAACUAGCAAUGACAUUCACAUCCCCCUCUACAGGCCGUUGGCGCUGCUUCGUUGCGAACGCUUGCACUGUCACACGUCCCCUAUAUAGUUGCUGCCCAUUGAGAUGUCGUAAGAUCAACAAUUACACAUGAAUUAUAUGAUUCAUGCAAUACAUUGCCAAAUUUUACUGUAGAAUUCGAUCUCAAUUGAUCCAGAUUGAUUGAUUUAGUCUUUCCGGAUCGUCUGAUCUGGAUCACAAUUUUGCAAAUCAUGUUGCAACUGAACACUUGUCAGUAUUGCUUCUCUUUUUCUUUCA
Zingiber officinale is the source of this 540-nucleotide long non-coding RNA. RefSeq lists it as uncharacterized. The record is from RefSeq and is a predicted model, not a curated record. Lineage: Eukaryota; Viridiplantae; Streptophyta; Magnoliopsida; Zingiberales; Zingiberaceae. The transcript is spliced from 3 exons.